CGGUCUAAAUUACUUAACGCUGAGAGGUCCAAAAGCCAAAACUCCCGCAUUCUGCUAAUUCCACUUUCGACAAAAUUCUAACGAAAAAGGGUUCUCUCCAUAGCAGAAAACCAGUUGCAGUGGUGAAAGGAUUUCUGCCAUUUGAGGGUUUUUUUGCCGUCGUCGUCAACGAUUCUUAAGAGCAAGCACAAGAGGAUAUGAAAUUUGGCUAGCAGAGUGUCUUGGAUACGAUUACUGACUUCUUUAGAGUAGCUUUUGGGAGUGUGGGGGUGUUGGUGGUGGUGGGAUCUUCGUUCCCAUGUUUACCCUUGUGAAAUAAUCAACAACAAUAUCAAGAUGUAAGAGAUAUGUUGUUAUUGUUUCCUCUUAAGCUUUCUUUAGUAGUGUCAUAGACCUGACUUGUUUGGAAGAAACUCUGCAAUUAUGUUAAACCCUUUCUAUAAAGGGAAAGAGUUGUAAAUUCUUCUACUUUAUAGAAUGAGGAGAAAAUUAAGUGGGAAGAAAAGAUUUUUCAACUCAAAUCCUUUCUUAAGAUAUGAUUUUAAUUCUAUGCUUUUCUAGAUAAAUUUUGGUUGACUUAUUUUUUAAUCUAUUACUAUAAGAGGAUAGCUUACUUUUUUAAGUAAUCCUGGUUCAUCUGAAAUUUUUUCUUUUUUUUUUUUUGAAUUUAUAUGAGGGUAAUUUACAUUUCAAUUUGUCCUAAUCUUCUAAUUUUGAGUCUUUGAGGAUGUAAUCGAGGCCUUUCCCUUGAGCUUCAUUCUUGUUCUUGGGUUCUUAAAUAUAGCAUCUCAAGAUACAUUGUUUCUGUAUUUCUUUCUAGUUCUUUGUAUUCACAUGCUUAUUUAACUUAUUUCUUCCUAAAGAUAUUUGAGAAUCCUACCAUUCUAAAAUUUCUUCAUAUGAGAAUUGUUCUUUUUUCUUCUCAUUCAGGUGGUUUAGUUUAAUUAUUGAACUUUUAUAUGUGUUCAUGUUUCAAAUAUAUAUUAGAAUUUUGGUUCUGACCAUUCUAUACUAUAGAUGGAUAGAGAUAUUUUUAUCCUGUUCUAUACAUAAUCAAGCAGGAUUAAGACAUAACUUAUAGUUUUGGCCUUCUAUUGAUGACUAAAUUGCUGGAUUAUAAUAAGAAAUGGUGGUCAAUGAAAUGCUUUGAACCAGAAGUAAGAAACAAAAUUGCACCUUAAUAGUUUGAUUUAUUUUCAGAUUUAAUAGGAAGAAAACAAAUGAUACUGGUCAUAGAGUAUUUCUUUCUUGACUAUGAACAACCUAGAUGUGGCCUACUACUUUGUUUGUUGGCAUGUCUUAAUCUACAAUUUGAAACCAACUUUUAGGGAUCAUGUUUGAUAAAGAGUGCUUGUGAUUGGUGUUUGGAGUUUAGGAUUUGUUCUUCUAUUAGGGUUGGGAACCGGUUUAGGUUUCUUUUUUGACAUUUGCCUGUAGCUCAUAUAUGAUAUAUAAUAUAUCCAUUUACCCUAGUUUUUGUUCCAUCUUCUUUAUUAGAAUUGUUGGCUCAUUUAUUCACUCUUGAGUUGGCUUAGGAGUGUAGAUUACAAUAAACUCUAGUUGGGUUGCAUUACUCAAAAGUGAAUUAAGUGUUUGGGUCAUAUAGGACUAGCUAGGGGAGGUAGCAAUAGGUUAGAUCACAUUCAGUUUGGUCAUAUUGGAUCCAGUAGGAGAGAGGAGAUGAAAAAUUUGCUCUUUCUAUUAUUGCUCAUAGUAGUUUCUAUCAUUUUGUUAUGAACCAUUUGGUUGGUCCAUAAGAAAACUCGCAGUAUGGUUGAAAAAACUGGGCCCCACUUUUGUCAAAGUUGUAAAAAAGUGACUUUUUGUAACCAUGCAACCCAUUUGGUGGUAUUCUACAGCCUAUUGCUUUUAGUUUUUUGAAUCAUGCAAACCCAAAAGAGAGUAUCAUGCUUGCAUGAGUUUGGGUGUGGGCCAAGCAACUUGCCACCUGGGUAUUAUUAUAUAAUACAUUAAAAAAGCUUGUUAGUACCAUAAAGCAGUGGAGAUAAUUGCAAGACCCUGGGAUUUGUGGUCCUGGAAUCAGAACUUUGGAGGUUCCUGAUAAUAAUUGAUCAAUGCUUGCAUUAUGCUUUAAAUCAGAACUUUGGAGGUUCCUAAAAGCUGUAAUGGGGAAGCAAGAUUCACAUUCGAUUAUCUAUGUGAUCGCCUGGUAGUAUGUCUGCCCCUGUAUGAUAAAAAUAGUAUUAUAGUUAACCUAACUUUUAUUUGAUCUUGAUCUAAUGAGUUAUUUAAACAUUGAUCUUAUAAUUCUAGUGCUAAUAGCAGUAUUUUUGCUGCUAGUGAAUGUUAAUCCUUUUUCAAUUUUUUUUUAUCAGCAUUCUUUUGUCAAAUGUUCCGUUAGUAUUGAAUUUAUGAGAAAUUGUAGGACCCACCUAAAUUAGAUCAAAACUUUUAAUAAUUGGGAGCAAUUUUCAGACCAUGUCAGGAGAUCUUGAGAUGGAGCUCAAUCUAGCUCAGACUGAGGAUGUCUCUUAAUUGAGAGGAUCUCAGGCGACUAUGUAGCUAAUCCCAAAUAGUAUCUUAUGGUGGCCAUUAGUUUUUUAUGUUUUGGUUAGUUAUGGUGGCCGACCAAUCUUAUUCUGGAAUUCAUAAAUCUAGAAGUGGCAGACUUCAAGACUUCCAUUACUUUUAUAUUGGUAUUUGGAGCAACUUCUUGCUCCCACUUUUGAUCAGUUUUCGUUUAUCUGUUAUUGCAUUGAUCAUGUCUUUAAAUCCUUGUGCUUUGAAACAAAUAAUGUGGCUGUGGACAUGUGUUUUGCAUCUGUAUUUACUUAGUAGUCAGUUAUUCAUAAUAGAUGAAAUGAUACUUAGCCUUUCCAAGGGAGGAAAUAGAGAAGCAGGAGUUGCUGCUGGAAUUUCUUUUGCAGCUACAACAAAGGAAACAAGAAGCUGCUGACAAGUUGCAUGAUACCAUUUGUUAUCUGUCUUUGACAUUGAAGAAGUUCUGAAGCAACAAAAGAUGCUUAAGAAAAAAAAGGAGGUUUAUACCUAGAUCUGAACAAGGAUGUUUUCAGCUGCAGGCUAUGACAAAAAUCCCUUUGUUUUUCUUUCUUUUACUUUUGCAUUGGAAGAUGUGCUUCAUUAUUAUAGAAUUUGAUUUUUUUUUAAGUUCUUGUACUAUUUAUAUUUCAAUUGGAUAUUGUAUUUGAACAAUGUCUUUUGGAUACUUCAAUAUAUAAUCUUUGAAUUAA
Molecule: long non-coding RNA, 3212 nt
Organism: Nelumbo nucifera (sacred lotus)
Lineage: Eukaryota; Viridiplantae; Streptophyta; Magnoliopsida; Proteales; Nelumbonaceae
Source: RefSeq, a predicted model, not a curated record